Molecule: long non-coding RNA, 681 nt
Organism: Hippoglossus stenolepis (Pacific halibut)
Lineage: Eukaryota; Metazoa; Chordata; Actinopteri; Pleuronectiformes; Pleuronectidae
Exons: 2
Source: RefSeq, a predicted model, not a curated record
AUUUGAUUUCAUUACAGAUCAUAAAUGCAUACCUCACAAUUACACAGGCAUUUCACUGAGGCAGGCAAAGGCAGGGGCUUUCUACUGGAGUCCUUCCAAAUGACUGACAUUUGGCAAGGAAAGAACAAAGGACUGAGGAAGGUGAUAAAUGUGAAUACACUGAAUAUCAGGGAGGAUUUGUUUAAUCAUGUUCCUUCACUUGUAGGCCUUUUUCUUUCUUUGUCCUAUGAUUAUUUAUUCUGCAUCUUAAUAAUAUUGCUUCUGAGAAAACCUGUUUAAUUUUCUGUGUUCUAUAUUGCAUAAAUGUAGGUAGAUCCUCUGGAUUAUGACGUCAUGGUUGGAGCUGCUUGCGAGCACCAACAUUGGACACUAACUUUGGCUAUAAUCACAAUAUACAGCUCCUGUUUGAAUAAUCCCUGUUUGCCUUUUCUAAUUUGUCGAGGUGAUGUAUCCUAAACAGAGGCACUCCGUGUAUGUGGAUCCUUUUGGGGCACAUGAGGACGCAUUAAAAAAAUGCAGUGCAGUGACCAGGGCUUUCAUGAGGCAGCGAGGCCACAACUCCUCCUGUGAAACAGUUUCACACGCUCCUCAAGAGGAUGCAACCUCAUGUGGUGUUAUUGUGUCUAAAGUAAGUGAACGUGCUUUGAAUCAACCAGUUCAGAAAUAAAUGGUUGAACUGUU